GCCUAUGGCCACACCACCCUGAAAACAACUGAUCUUGUCUGAUCUCAGAAGCUAAGCAGGGUCGGGCUUGGUUAGUACUUGGAUGGGAGACUGCCUGGGAAUCCCGGGUGUUGUAGUGA
RNAcentral lists this ribosomal RNA (119 nucleotides) under Strigops habroptila (Kakapo). Lineage: Eukaryota; Metazoa; Chordata; Aves; Psittaciformes; Psittacidae. The record is from RNAcentral.